This 492-nucleotide ribosomal RNA is filed under the name uncultured bacterium. Its description in RNAcentral is "partial 16S ribosomal RNA". It matches the Rfam family "Bacterial small subunit ribosomal RNA", at positions 29 to 507 of the family's 1533-position model. The record is from RNAcentral.
AGUGAACGCUGGCGGUAGGCCUAACACAUGCAAGUCGAACGGCAGCACAGUAAGAGCUUGCUCUUACGGGUGGCGAGUGGCGGACGGGUGGGGAAUACAUCGGAAUCUACUUUUUCGUGGGGGAUAACGUAGGGAAACUUACGCUAAUACCGCAUACGACCUACGGGUGAAAGCAGGGGAUCUUCGGACCUUGCGCGAUUGAAUGAGCCGAUGUCGGAUUAGCUAGUUGGCGGGGUAAAGGCCCACCAAGGCGACGAUCCGUAGCUGGUCUGAGAGGAUGAUCAGCCACACUGGAACUGAGACACGGUCCAGACUCCUACGGGAGGCAGCAGUGGGGAAUAUUGGACAAUGGGCGCAAGCCUGAUCCAGCCAUACCGCGUGGGUGAAGAAGGCCUUCGGGUUGUAAAGCCCUUUUGUUGGGAAAGAAAUCCAGCCGGCUAAUACCUGGUUGGGAUGACGGUACCCAAAGAAUAAGCACCGGCUAACUUCGUG